Molecule: ribosomal RNA, 533 nt
Filed under: Ptychadena pumilio (Medine grassland frog)
Lineage: Eukaryota; Metazoa; Chordata; Amphibia; Anura; Ptychadenidae
Description: partial 16S ribosomal RNA
Rfam family: Bacterial large subunit ribosomal RNA
Source: RNAcentral
GAGGUCCCGCCUGCCCAGUGACAGGGUUUAACGGCCGCGGUAUCCUGACCGUGCGAAGGUAGCAUAAUCACUUGUUCUUUAAAUAAGGACUAGAAUCAACGGCGUCACGAGGGUCUUACUGUCUCCUUUUUCUAAUCAGUGAAAUUGAUCUCCCCGUGAAGAAGCGGGGAUAACAAUAUAAGACGAGAAGACCCCAUGGAGCUUCAAGCUCAACAACUACUCCUAUAAAAGCUACCCCAUAACCCCAAGGAUCUACUUGUUAGCUUUGGGUUGGGGUGACCGCGGAGUAAAACUUAGCCUCCAUAAUGAAAAGAAUAAAAUCCUUAUCCGAGAGCUACGCCUCUAAGAAUUAGAACACUAACACAAAAUGACCCGACCUACUCGAUCAAUGAACCAAGUUACCCUGGGGAUAACAGCGCUAUCCACUUCAAGAGCCCAUAUCGACAAGUGGGUUUACGACCUCGAUGUUGGAUCAGGGUACCCCAGUGGUGUAGCCGCUACUAAAGGUUCGUUUGUUCAACGAUUAAAACCCU